Molecule: ribosomal RNA, 563 nt
Filed under: uncultured bacterium
Lineage: Bacteria
Description: partial 16S ribosomal RNA
Rfam family: Bacterial small subunit ribosomal RNA
Source: RNAcentral
UGGGAAUAUUGGACAAUGGGCGCAAGCCUGAUCCAGCCAUGCCGCGUGAGUGAUGAAGGCCCUAGGGUUGUAAAGCUCUUUCAGCGAGGAGGAUAAUGACGUUACUCGCAGAAGAAGCCCCGGCUAACUUCGUGCCAGCAGCCGCGGUAAUACGAAGGGGGCUAGCGUUGUUCGGAAUCACUGGGCGUAAAGCGCACGUAGGCAGACUUUUAAGUCAGGGUGAAAUCCCGGGGCUCAACCUCGGAACUGCCUUUGAUACUGGAAGUCUGGAGUCCGAGAGAGGUGAGUGGAACUCCGAGUGUAGAGGUGAAAUUCGUAGAUAUUCGGAAGAACACCAGUGGCGGAAGGCGGCUCACUGGCUCGGUACUGACGCUGAGGUGCGAAAAGCGUGGGGAGCAAAACAGGAUUAGAUACCCUGGUAGUCCACGCCGUAAAACGAUGGAAGCUAGCCGUCAGGGUGCAUGCAUCUUGGUGGCGCAGUUAACGCAUUAAGCUUCCCGCCUGGGGAGUACGGUCGCAAGAUUAAAAACUCAAAGGAAUUGACGGGGUCAUAGCUGUUUCCU